GCAAUGAUUGAAUUAUUUACAUAACCCAGCAGAAGCGAUUCAAUAGUCUGCCCUGAUGUGGACUGUAAGAAUGAUUAGAAAAGAAGUUAUGCCUGAGAAAGGUUUGAAAGACAGUAAUAGUUUUGCUAAGUGGACAAGAGUCGAAAGGACAGUCCAGGCAGAGCAGCAUAUGUAAGCUAUACAGAAGGAAGGCAGUGAGACAGUAUGGGUUGUUCAGGGAAAUCAAAGCAGUCUGCUUUCAGGAGAAUAAAGUACAAAAAGCCUAUGUCCAGAAAUAAGACAGGAGAACCAGGUAUCAUCAUAAGGGCCUCAUAUCCCAGUAGUUUUCUCUCUCAGCUUUCUUUUCUGAUGCUUAAUUCUAGUAAGUUCUGUGAGGGUGUGGUCAGGCUCUAAGAGGCCCCAGUGAUCCCUGCAUUCUGGUAUUCACAUGCUUGUGUAAUCCUCUCCCAAAAUGCACCAGGGUUGGUCUGGUCUGUGUGCCUAAUAGCGAUGCUAGGAGCUCUGGUGGGGAAUGUUAAUAAUGGGUGAGGCUAUGCAUCAGUAGAGAAAAAGGAUACAUGGGAAAUCUCUGUAAACAUCCACUGAAUUUUGUUGUGAACCUAAAACUACUCUAAAAAAUAAACUCUAUUAAAAAAAGUGUAUGGGGAUGGUAUGUCACUUCCAAAAUUAGGCUUAAAAAGACUCUAGCUUUUUGUCUUGGGUGUUUUUCUCUCAUCUCUCACACUCUGGGAAAUGCAAAUACAUAAAAAAAUAUAAGAAACCCAUGAACCUCCAUAUACCCACCACCUAGCUUCAAAAAUUAACAGAUUUUGCAAAUUUUGUUUUAUCUGUCUCCUCUCACUCUUACUUCACCUCUCCAUCACCACUGAAGUAUUUUAAAGCAGAUCCCAGGCAUCACCUUAAAGUCAUGCACUUCAUGCAUAACAACGUUUUCGCCAUUGACAGAUCACAUAUAUGACAGUGGUCUCAUAAGAUUAUAAUACUGUUUUUACAGUGCCUUUUCGAUAUUUAGAUAUGUUUAGAUACAAAUCCUUACCACUGUGUUGCCUACAGUAUUCAGUACAGUAAGUAAUAUGCUGUACAAGUUUGUAGGCUAGGAGCAACAGGCUAUCCCACAUAGCCUAGGUAUGUAGUAGGCUAUACCAUCUAGAUUUAUGUAAGUAUACUCCGUGAUGUUUAUGCAAAGAUGAAAUCACCUAAGGACAUAUUUCUCAGAACAUACCCCUGUUGUUAAGUGAAGCAUGACUAUAUUUCACCCACAUUUGAAUAUUUAACAGAUAAGGUCUAACUAUAACAACAUUAUCACACUUGAUAAAAUUAACAUUCCUUAAUAUCAUCUAAUACCCAAUGUUAAAAUUCCCCUAGUUACCACUUAAUUUGUUUACUAUUAUACUUUGAAGUUUUCUUUUUUUCCUGUCCCUUCAUUUGCUCACGUGGUCAAAUCUCUAUUUUGUUCCUUUGCCCUUUAAUUUUAGAAAUUCUUCUAUAGUUUCUAUUCUAUUUGUGUGUGUGUAUCUGCACUACAACAGAUAUAUUUAAACAUAUUUCUCUACGAAGAUACUCACAUUAAGAGGCUGUUAUCCAUCCUGGCUAACAUGGUGAAAUCCUGUCUCUACUAAAAAUACAAAAAAAAAAAAAAAAAAAAAAA
This is a long non-coding RNA of Macaca fascicularis (crab-eating macaque), 1648 nucleotides long. The record is from Ensembl. NCBI's taxonomy places the organism in Eukaryota, Metazoa, Chordata, Mammalia, Primates, Cercopithecidae.